This 77-nucleotide transfer RNA is filed under the name Escherichia coli. Its description in RNAcentral is "tRNA-Arg". It matches the Rfam family "tRNA". From Rfam's summary of the family: Transfer RNA (tRNA) molecules are approximately 80 nucleotides in length. RNAcentral also lists the same sequence under 16 other names. The record is from RNAcentral. Lineage: Bacteria; Pseudomonadati; Pseudomonadota; Gammaproteobacteria; Enterobacterales; Enterobacteriaceae.
GCAUCCGUAGCUCAGCUGGAUAGAGUACUCGGCUACGAACCGAGCGGUCGGAGGUUCGAAUCCUCCUGGAUGCACCA